CAACCCUCAAGCCCUCCUUCGGGACCGGGCCUGGUGUUGGGGCUCGGCCGCCAUCUCCGGCGGCCGUCCCCUAAAUACAGUGGCGGUCACGCCGCAACUCCCUUGCGUAGUAGAAACACCUCGCACCGGAUAGCGACGCGGUCCACGCCGUAAAACCCCCAAUUUUUAAU
This 170-nucleotide unclassified non-coding RNA is filed under the name uncultured Acremonium. RNAcentral's name for it is "sequence contains ITS2". Lineage: Eukaryota; Fungi; Ascomycota. The record is from RNAcentral.